RNAcentral lists this long non-coding RNA (588 nucleotides) under Cricetulus griseus (Chinese hamster). RNAcentral's name for it is "lncRNA (ENSCGRG00015029286.1)". The record is from RNAcentral. Lineage: Eukaryota; Metazoa; Chordata; Mammalia; Rodentia; Cricetidae.
UCUGGAGACCAGGCUGGCCUCGAACUGAACUCACAGAGAUCCGCCACAGAUUCAAGAGUCUUAUGAAGAUGCUUUAGACUCCAUGGCCCUGUCAAAGGGCAGAACCAUCCUGUCACUGAUUCCAUGUUGUCUGAUAGACUUUGGAAAGAGAGACGUAGCAGGUGGCGACUAUCGACGUGACCUUUCAGAUCAUCUCCACAACUCUGAGUGCGUUUAAAGGGAGAAGCCUGACAUUUGUGGCUAUGAUCAUUCAUAGUCUCGUCAUCCGCCCCAUUGAUCGAGGACACCGGUCACAUCACUGUCUUGAAGCCCAGUGACAAAUGUGGCAUCUGACUGACAAGUAAAAGCUCAAACCAAAAUAAGGCUACCUGCUUCAUGGGAUGUUUUCAGGACAAAAAUGGUGACUGAUGCCAUAUAGGAUGCUUGUAAAAUACAGGAGUCACUCCUUAGUCCUGUCUCUUAAAGGUUCUGCCACUGUCAAGCACAGACUGAGAAGCAAACCUCAAACCCAGGGCCUUGGGGAGGCAGUUACCACAACCAUCGGUGCUGAGACCUAAAUGUCACUCCACUUGGAUUGAGGUCUCCCGG